GAGGGGUUCCUCCCUUCACCCUUUGAAGUGGGUGGGGGGCCGGACGCCCGCCACGCCUGAGUGCGGAGGGCGAGGGCGGGAGCAAGGCCACCACAAAGACUGCGAUUGUUAGCCGGCGGCGCACAGUGGGCGGGGCUCGGGGGCCAGCAAGGAAAUAAGGCUGCAGCCCCUCUCCCGGCUCCCGCCCCUUCUCCUUCCUCCCCGGCUCCAGCUGGUCCAGCUCCACAAGGAGGGACCGGUGGAGGAGCGCCCAGCAGGCCCAGAGGUGCACCUCUCCUGCUGGGUCAUCGGGCUGUGCAUGCCGAGGGUGGUGGUCAGGAGGCCAGGCCCCAGGUGUUCCAAGGGCACCUAGUUUCCACCAGGACUGGGUGAGGAGCAAGGAGAAAGCAGAUGACCAAAAUUGGGCCUAUGGGGAGUCCCAGAAUGUGGCCCAUCAGAGGUCUGGCAGCCUCAGGACAGGAGCCUCUGGGGCUGGAAGCCUGACAGCCAAGGCGCAGAAAAGUGGUCAGCCCCCUGGCUGCAGCAGGACAGCAAAUGGGGGAGCGACAGAGUACCCAGCUCAGGCUGGGUGGAGAGCCUCAGAGCCUGCCCCCAGACGGCCAGCGAUCAAAGAGAAGAGUGGAUCCAGGAAAAAUCGAGCUGCCAAGUGGUUGAUUGGCUUUGCCUCCAUCAGCCUGAUGAAUAUUCAUGAGGAGGCAGACGCAUUUGCACCUCCGACUGAGAACCAGGUGACGGUGUGAUUGCUGUGGAGAAGCCCCAGGUCAGUUCCUGCUGGGUGCUCGGAUCCUGGGAACCCUCCCUCCGCUUCUCCCUGGCUGUCCUGAGAACGCCAUCCUGUUGGCAGGGGCUGUGCUCCCAUCUGGAUGGUGGUGGGUGAGGGUAUUUCAGCACGUCCUGGAAGGAGCAGGGUGCAUGGUUUUCCAUCAGUUGGGGCGCUGUCAGCCCAGGUUCCUGGUGUUGAGGGAGGGGCUUGCCCCAGGGAGUAAGGAGGGCUGGAGAGAAGGGAGGUGGGCUCUGCUGAAAAGCCCUUGAAAGGCAGCCCUCAAGGCCUUCUCCAGGGCUUGGGGUUGGGUCCCUGGGAGGGCCUGGGUGGGCAGUGUGAGCAGCGCA
Molecule: long non-coding RNA, 1110 nt
Filed under: Bos indicus x Bos taurus (hybrid cattle)
Lineage: Eukaryota; Metazoa; Chordata; Mammalia; Artiodactyla; Bovidae
Description: lncRNA (ENSBIXG00000003721.1)
Source: RNAcentral